GCCGAAGUGGUGGAACUUGGUAGACACGCUAUCUUGAGGGGGUAGUGGCCACAAGCCGUGCCGGUUCAAGUCCGGCCUUCGGCACCA
This 87-nucleotide transfer RNA is filed under the name Desulfobacteraceae bacterium. RNAcentral's name for it is "tRNA-Leu". It matches the Rfam family "tRNA". Rfam says of the family: Transfer RNA (tRNA) molecules are approximately 80 nucleotides in length. Their secondary structure includes four short double-helical elements and three loops (D, anti-codon, and T loops). Further hydrogen bonds mediate the characteristic L-shaped molecular structure. tRNAs have two regions of fundamental functional importance: the anti-codon, which is responsible for specific mRNA codon recognition, and the 3' end, to which the tRNAs corresponding amino acid is attached (by aminoacyl-tRNA synthetases). tRNAs cope with the degeneracy of the genetic code in two manners: having more than one tRNA (with a specific anti-codon) for a particular amino acid; and 'wobble' base-pairing, i.e. permitting non-standard base-pairing at the 3rd anti-codon position. Lineage: Bacteria; Pseudomonadati; Thermodesulfobacteriota; Desulfobacteria; Desulfobacterales; Desulfobacteraceae. The record is from RNAcentral.